Molecule: long non-coding RNA, 293 nt
Filed under: Gossypium barbadense (sea-island cotton)
Lineage: Eukaryota; Viridiplantae; Streptophyta; Magnoliopsida; Malvales; Malvaceae
Description: long non-coding RNA (GBAR_LNC007480)
Source: RNAcentral
AAUUAAGUUGAUAGUUCAAGAGUUCAUAUGUUUCCAAAUAUGGUUCAUGUUGGACAAAUUAUGGAAUUAGGGAUUUAAUUGAAUGAAUUCUAAGUUAGAAUUGAUUAAGGGAUUAAAUUGUAAACUAGGCUAUAAGUUUUAUGUUGUAGGGACUAAAUUGAAGAAAUUUCGAAAUUAGGGAAAUAUGCAGGAAAUUUUAUAGUUAAAUAUAAGUUUAGACAAAAUUUGAAUAGAAAAAGAGAGUGAAUUGGAUUAAAAAAAUAAUUAAGUUUAGUUAGGAUUAAAUUGGGAAU